This 253-nucleotide ribosomal RNA is filed under the name uncultured bacterium. Its description in RNAcentral is "partial 16S ribosomal RNA". It matches the Rfam family "Bacterial small subunit ribosomal RNA", at positions 524 to 776 of the family's 1533-position model. The record is from RNAcentral.
CACGUAGGGUCCAAGCGUUGUUCGGAUUCAUUGGGCGUAAAGGGUGCGUAGGCGGGUCUUUAAGUCAGGGGUGAAAUCCUGGAGCUCAACUCCAGAACUGCCUUUGAUACUGAAGAUCUUGAGUUCGGGAGAGGUGAGUGGAACUGCGAGUGUAGAGGUGAAAUUCGUAGAUAUUCGCAAGAACACCAGUGGCGAAGGCGGCUCACUGGCCCGAUACUGACGCUGAGGUGCGAAAGCGUGGGGAGCAAACAGG